AGAGUUUGAUCAUGGCUCAGAGCGAACGCUGGCGGCGUGCUUAACACAUGCAAGUCGAACGCGCAGUCUUCUGUAGCAAUACAGGAGGUGGGCGCGUGGCGAACGGGUGCGUAACACGUGGAUAACCUUCCUUCAGGUGGGGAAUAACCCCGCGAAAGCGGGGCUAAUACCGCAUAACAUGACGAUGGCACAUGCUGUUGUCUUCAAAGCCGCAAGGCGCCAGAAGAGGGAUCCGCGGCCGAUUAGCUUGUUGGCGAGGUAAUGGCUCACCAAGGCAUUGAUCGGUAGCCGGACUGAGAGGUUGGCCGGCCACACUGGAACUGAGACACGGUCCAGACUCCUACGGGAGGCAGCAGUGGGGAAUCUUGCGCAAUGGGCGAAAGCCUGACGCAGCAACGCCGCGUGGGGGAUGAAGCUUCUCGGAGUGUAAACCCCUUUCGACCCGGACGAAUGCCCGCAAGGGCUUGACGGUACGGGUAUAAGAAGCCCCGGCUAACUACGUGCCAGCAGCCGCGGUAAAACGUAGGGGGCCAGCGUUGCUCGGAAUUACUGGGCGUAAAGGGUCCGUAGGCGGUGUGGCAAGUCGGAAGUGAAAUCUCUGGGCUUAACUCAGAGGCUGCUUCCGAAACUGCUGUGCUAGAGUGCGAGAGAGGCGAGUGGAAUUGCGGGUGUAGCGGUGAAAUGCGUAGAUAUCCGCAGGAACAUCCGAGGCGAAAGCGGCUCGCUGGAUCGCAACUGACGCUGAGGGACGAAAGCUAGGGGAGCAAACAGGAUUAGAUACCCUGGUAGUCCUAGCCCUAAACCAUCAGGACUUGGGGUUUGCCCUGUACGGGGCAAGUCCCGUAGCUAACGCGUUAAGUCCUGCGCCUGGGGAGUACGGUCACAAGGCUGAAACUCAAAGGAAUUGACGGGGGCCCCGCACAAGCGGUGGAACAUGUGGUUCAAUUCGACGCAACGCGAAGAACCUUACCUGGGCUUGAACG
RNAcentral lists this ribosomal RNA (983 nucleotides) under uncultured bacterium. RNAcentral describes it as "bacterial SSU rRNA". It matches the Rfam family "Bacterial small subunit ribosomal RNA", at positions 8 to 987 of the family's 1533-position model. The record is from RNAcentral.